Molecule: ribosomal RNA, 402 nt
Filed under: uncultured prokaryote
Description: bacterial SSU rRNA
Rfam family: Bacterial small subunit ribosomal RNA
Source: RNAcentral
UAAGGAAUAUUGGUAAUGGGCGAAAGCCCGAACCAGCAACGCCGCGUGCGCGAUGAAGGCCUUCGGGUUGUAAAGCGCUUUUUAAGGGGAUGAGGAAGGACAGUACUCUUAGAAUAAGCCUCGGCUAACUACGUGCCAGCAGCCGCGGCAAAACGUAGGAGGCGAGCGUUGUCCGGAUUUACUGGGCGUAAAGCGUGUGUAGGCGGUUUGAUAAGUUGGAUGUGAAAGCUCCCGGCUCAACUGGGAGAGGUCGUUCAAAACUAUCAGACUUGAGAGUGGUAGAGGGAGGUGGAGUUCCGCAUGUAGUGGUGAAAUGCGUAGAUAUGCGGAGGAACACCAGUGGCGAAAGCGAUCUCCUGGCCCAUUUCUGACGCUCAGACACGAAAGCUAAGGUAGCAAACG